AUUGAACGCUGGCGGCAUGCCUUACACAUGCAAGUCGAACGGCAGCACGGGUGCUUGCACCUGGUGGCGAGUGGCGAACGGGUGAGUAAUACAUCGGAACGUACCUUAUCGUGGGGGAUAACGCAGCGAAAGCUGUGCUAAUACCGCAUACGCCCUGAGGGGGAAAGCGGGGGAUCGCAAGACCUCGCGCGAUUAGAGAGGCCGAUGCCGGAUUAGCUAGUUGGUGGGGGAAAAGCCCACCAAGGCGACGAUCAGUAGCUGGUCUGAGAGGACGAGCAGCCACACUGGGACUGAGACACGGCCCAGACUCCUACGGGAGGCGGCAGUGGGGAAUGUUGGACAAUGGGGGCAACCCUGAUCCAGAGAUGCCGCGUGAGUGAAGAAGGCCUUCGGGUUGUAAAGCUCUUUUGUCAGGGAAGAAACACCGGCUCUAACACAGUACGGGAAUGACGGUACCUGAAGAAUAAGCACCGGCUGACUACGUGCCAGCCGCCGCUGUAA
RNAcentral lists this ribosomal RNA (501 nucleotides) under uncultured bacterium. Its description in RNAcentral is "partial 16S ribosomal RNA". It matches the Rfam family "Bacterial small subunit ribosomal RNA", at positions 29 to 523 of the family's 1533-position model. The record is from RNAcentral.